Molecule: non-coding RNA, 35 nt
Filed under: Trichobilharzia regenti
Lineage: Eukaryota; Metazoa; Platyhelminthes; Trematoda; Strigeidida; Schistosomatidae
Source: RNAcentral
CGAGUCCCAAAUAGGAUGAAAUGCGCAUCCUGGAU